This is a long non-coding RNA of Hyla sarda, 636 nucleotides long. RefSeq lists it as uncharacterized. The record is from RefSeq and is a predicted model, not a curated record. The transcript has 3 exons. NCBI's taxonomy places the organism in Eukaryota, Metazoa, Chordata, Amphibia, Anura, Hylidae.
UUCCUUCUGCCCUGCCUUACCCCCUCUACCACACAUCUAACCUUGAAGCAGAUGGGCUACAGCGGCAGAAGACCACACCAGGUGCCACUCCUGUUAACUGAGAACAAGAAACUGAGGAUACAAUUCACACAGGCUCACUAAAACUGGACAAAGGAAGACUUAAAGAAUGUUACCUGGUGUAAUGAAUCUCUAUUUCAGCUGCAACAUUCGGAUGGUAGGGUCAGAAUUUGGCAUAAACAGCAUGAAAGCAUGGAUCCAGCCUGCCUUGUAGCAAUUGUUCAGGCAGGUGGUGGUGGUGUAAUAGUGUGGGGGACAUUUUCUUGGCACAGUUGUUUCUUGAACAUGACAGUGAGUUCACUGAUCUGAAUGGCCUCGACAGUCACCAGAUCUCAUUCCAAUAGAUCAUUUUUGGGAUGUGGUGGAACGGGGGAUUAGUAUCUUGGAUGUACAGCAUACAAGUCUGCAGCAACUGCGUGAUACCAUCAUGUCUAAAUCUCUAAAGAAUGUUUCCAGCACUUUGUAGAAUGUACAACACAAGGAAUGAAGACUGUUCUGAAGUGACAUGAGACUACAAGAUCUGGGCCUCAAAAAUUAUUACCUCAAUGAACAGGAUCCAGACAUCCGCUUCUCUCUGAC